AACAGGAUUAGAUACCCUGGUAGUCCACGCCGUAAACGAUGUCGACUUGGAGGUUGUUCCCUUGAGGAGUGGCUUCCGGAGCUAACGCGUUAAGUCGACCGCCUGGGGAGUACGGCCGCAAGGUUAAAACUCAAAUGAAUUGACGGGGGCCCGCACAAGCGGUGGAGCAUGUGGUUUAAUUCGAUGCAACGCGAAGAACCUUACCUACUCUUGACAUCCACGGAAUUCGGCAGAGAUGCCUUAGUGCCUUCGGGAACCGUGAGACAGGUGCUGCAUGGCUGUCGUCAGCUCGUGUUGUGAAAUGUUGGGUUAAGUCCCGCAACGAGCGCAACCCUUAUCCUUUGUUGCCAGCGAUUCGGUCGGGAACUCAAAGGAGACUGCCGGUGAUAAACCGGAGGAAGGUGGGGAUGACGUCAAGUCAUCAUGGCCCUUACGAGUAGGGCUACACACGUGCUACAAUGGCGCAUACAAAGAGAAGCGACCUCGCGAGAGCAAGCGGACCUCAUAAAGUGCGUCGUAGUCCGGAUCGGAGUCUGCAACUCGACUCCGUGAAGUCGGAAUCGCUAGUAAUCGUGGAUCAGAAUGCCACGGUGAAUACGUUCCCGGGCCUUGUACACACCGCCCGUCACACCAUGGGAGUGGGUUGCAAAAGAAGUAGGUAGCUUAACCUCCGGGA
RNAcentral lists this ribosomal RNA (676 nucleotides) under Pantoea agglomerans. Its description in RNAcentral is "bacterial SSU rRNA". It matches the Rfam family "Bacterial small subunit ribosomal RNA", at positions 771 to 1447 of the family's 1533-position model. RNAcentral also lists the same sequence under 1 other name. The record is from RNAcentral. Lineage: Bacteria; Pseudomonadati; Pseudomonadota; Gammaproteobacteria; Enterobacterales; Erwiniaceae.